UUUCCGUAGGUGAACCUGCGGAAGGAUCAUUAGUAAGAAUCAUGCGCUCUCUUUUGCCUCUCUUCGGAGGGGGUUUGAGAUGCCAUCUCUCUUCACUACCCUGUGCACCGUGCAUUUUUUUAUCGCGCUUCUAAGUCAUUGGAUGUCAAUUACACUUAUAAAGGCACAAAAUUCAGCAGUGGAUCUCUUGGCUCUCGCAUCGAUGAAGAACGCAGC
This 216-nucleotide unclassified non-coding RNA is filed under the name uncultured fungus. RNAcentral describes it as "sequence contains ITS1, 5.8S rRNA gene". The stretch from base 168 to 216 matches the Rfam family "5.8S ribosomal RNA", at positions 1 to 49 of the family's 154-position model. The record is from RNAcentral. Lineage: Eukaryota; Fungi.